CUGAAUCACACUGGCCUCCUCCCCUCCCCCCCUCCCCCCUGCUUCACGGGGAGCUCAUCAGCCCUCUGACAAAAGGCCCGCGAACGGCUGGCGCCACUCGUGUGGCUGCUCUUGUGGAAUGCACAUAGCUGGGUAAGCGCUAAUAAUAGCCGGAGAGGAAACCGAGGUGGCAGCUUAAUCCGGGGCCCAGGCACUCAUUGGCUCUGCUAACUCAAUGGUGACAUGUUCAAAUCUCUUCCCCUGUCCUGUGCUCCGAUGGGCCAUUGUGCUGCCAUCACUGCCUUGAUCCCAUCUGUUCUAGCGGAGGUCAACAAGGCUACGUUCAGCCCCAAGCCCGGGCAGCAUUCUUGGCAGUCUGUCCAGGUCCAGCACCUUCACAGCUGCUACUUGGAGACCUUUUGUCCCUGCGGUGGCUAGGAAAUAUGUGGAAGGCAGAGGGGUGGGUUAGGAGGAAGGUCAGAGGCCAACUAGACAGACUGAAUGGUUCGCCUUUCCUGAGCAGGCUGGGUUGAAAGUCUGUCCCUCUGGGAUGAGCGGAGAACACCGUCCAGCUUCCAGUGGUGCAAAAGGCAGAUUGUCCGUAGCUGGGGCGAGUACAGGCAGCUUCUGUUCAUCCCUCUCAGUGGCUAAAAAAGUGCAUCUUCAGCUUUUUCAGCUUUGCCUGCCUGCUUGCAACCAGGGCACAGGAUAAAAAACAUUACAGGGCUCCGGGCUGAGUUUUCCAGCAUGAGGAAAAAAGGGUGGAUGUGUUGGCAGGGAUGAGAGAUCUGUUUCUAGUGAAGCCAUGGUCAAAAAAGGAUCCAGAACAAUGAUGCUGGGAGGCUUUUCAAUUAUCCUUUCUUGCUCCUGGAACAUAUUUUUGCUUCACUUACAAACGCCAUCGUUUUACCUAACAUUCAAUGCUGCAAAGUGUGGUUGGGAUCUGCUUUUCAAGCUCCCUUCUUUCUAAGGAUCAGCCAGCCUCAUGGGAUAGUUCAGUGUUGUCAGCUCCAGACAUUAAAAAAUGAUGACUCCAGUUUCAGAAAAUCAUAACAGUGGCUUAAAAUGAUGGGAUUUAAAGAAAAAAUAACCCAUGCCGUGUUUUCUAAUUUGCCUUCUGGGUUUUCGACCCUUUGGAAUGCAGUCAAGUCACAGUUUCAUGCUUUUGUUUUACAGCAAAACAGGUUAGAAGUGCGCCCAUUUAGAAAUGAGCCUUUAUCAUAGAGUCAUAGAAAAUGAUGGUUGAAAGGACCUCAGGAGGUCACAUCUAGUCCACCCCCCUGCUCAAAGCAGGACCAGCCCCAACUACAUCAUCCCAGCCAGGAACUUGCAUGACUGCUAUAAAUGGGACACUAAGGGAAUCUUUAGUAAUCAUUUAGUGUGGAUUGGUAACACUGUUUUCAGCUUGCAAAUGCAUACAGUUUAGGACAGUCGCCUUGAUGUGUUUGUACGGCAUGUGCCCAAUCUCAGUUUGGGCUAACUAGGCUCAGUCAUACACACAAACAGCUGACAAUGCAAGGUUUAAAUCUGCUCGUCUUCUCCGGAGGUGUUUGCCCAGCAGAUGUGGCAGCCGCGAGAACCACAUUGAAGCACAGGGCUAACACCUGAAAUGUGGAACGUGGCUCUGACUUUAAAGUGCGAGAAUGGAGUGAAAUGCCCACCCAGCCAAUAAAGGGCAGCAAUGUUAAAAGGAAAUUCGGUUUUAAAAUACACUUCAUUUUUAGUGAGUUACUUGUGAAACGAGUAUAUGUCUAGGGCCAAGAUUUUCAAAGGGGACAUGAUGGAGGUUCGACUUGUAAAAAUUAGGACCCCAUAAAAUGUCUCGGGUUGGGUGCCCCCGCAUUGAAACACGGGACAUCACGAGCCACUUGUGAAAGAUUACCUUUAAUCCGAUAGUUCUCUGCAGGUGACACCUCACAAUUUAAUACCACUGCAGACAGAGCUUGGACAGAUACCAGGGCCACUCUGAGGCACUGGGCUGUUAUUUUUAGUCAUUGCAAAAACACAGGCUGGGUGGAAUGUGCAGACUCUAUUUUGGUGCAAAAAUGCAAGGAAGGUUUCCCAAGGAACAGCUGUCGGUGGCACUGCCGGGUGGAGGAGGAGGCUUCCUGUAAAGGGUGGUGGAAGAGACUGUGAACACCCCCAGGGAAACCUCCCAAGCAUUUCGCCAUAUUAUUGGGCUGGACGAAGCAGGAUGCAGAUUUAGCUGCAGACUCACAGUCGGGUCCCGCUUUAUACUCAGCUUCUCCUUAUAGAAAGGUUUAAUAAUGGUUCACCGAUAUUCUCCCAGAGGGCUAAUAAGUUUUUAGAGAGUUUGACAGGCUGCUUAUAACCGUGGCCUGUACUUACCUCUGCCACUUUCUUCUGAUCACUUUAUAACCCUCUCUCACUUGUAUUGCUGUGUUUGUAGCACUCGUGCAAUGGCUCUUCAUUCAGGCUUUAUAAAUGGAAUUGUAAUCUACAGCGUGAUUGCAAGUGAGCCAUAUGGAUGUCAUUUGAACGGUCCCUUUUGCGCUGUGUUUCCUGCCUUAUUUGUCACUUCAAUGCCUAACCCACUAACUGUUAGUCUCGCGCUUCCCUCCUUAGAAAAGAUCAAAGCUUUGUUGUGCCAGGGGCUGUACAUACAGAUGAAGAGAUUCAAUCCCUGCCCAUAGGACUCACCAUCUCAGUAGAUGAGGCAGCGGGUGAGGGAAAGGGGUAUUAUCCCCAUCGUCAAGAAGGGGAACUGAGGGGCAGAUUAAGUGAUUCCCCCAAGGUCAAACAGGCAGUCUGUGACAGGGCAGGCAGCUGACACCAGGUCAGGGUCAAUUCAGGAUCAGUCUGGCUGUGGGGAAUGAGCUUUGUUUAGAAGGGACUUUCAUCCUACUGCAUUCACAGCUUUCCCUUGGAUGGUGCCUUGGUGAACUCAAGCUGAGCAAAGACCUGAUUUCCUAUAUUUGCUUCGAUGCUGUUGACUGUAUAAUUUAGCCAAGUGGGGAAUUCUGCCGUGCUAUCGCUGACCAUCACCAACCAGGGAAUUCACAACCAAUUGUUUCAUGGCUUCCUCUUGCUUACUAUGAACAGGGUGGUGGUAAAUUCUAACAUAGAUUAUGUAAAGCUCUUAAUGAAUCAAGGCUAAGAGAUCUUACUUCUUCUUUGGAAAACCCUGUUGGAAGAAAAAGCCCAGUAACCUCCUAAAAAAGCAACCACUAGCAUUUCCCAUUCAAUCUGAAGAAGUGUUGGCUCCUUCAAACAGAGUGAAUGGAUCUCAGAGGUGCAGAAAAGAAGGGUUGACUUUUUAAGAGUCUCUUUUAAAGAGAAGAAGGAAAAAUACUGUGUUUUCCUGUCAAGAGUGUAAGAGCCCAAGGCACAAGCUGUCAUUUCAGGGUCCAGACCCAAACUUUUCUGCCGUUCAGAGGAAGUGUUAGUAUGCAGCUUUGGACAACAGAGUUAUUUUUGUUGCACCAUUUCCAGCGCGCACACUGAAACCUGAUGAGGAUGAUUCCUGCACCCAACAUUAUUCAUUGCACUAGGCGCUGCACAUGGAAGACAUGAUUUCCAGCCCAACAAGAAUCAGUGUCAAGGGUAUUCUGCAUUAUGAGGAGGCUGAUGCAGAAAGUGGUUGAGACUAAAGGUGCAUACACACCGCUCAGCUGCUACCUAUCCAGAAUGGAUUUGCCCUUUUUAAAAGGCAGCUGCUCUCAAUGUAGUUUUGAGAGCACCUGGCUGGAAAAACACUAAGAAACAUCUUCUGUGAAACCCAGCUCUGAGUGAGGAAAGAAAGAGACCCUGCUUCAUGCCAGGCUUCUCGCACAGACUGAGACUACAAAGUGCUCAAACUUCAGCCUUUUCUACAGGGUGCUGCUGUUCCCUCACCUCGGAGUGAGCAUCUGCUGUCACAAAGAGAUACAGAAGAUCAUCACUUAUCUGAACCCCGUGGUAACAGCCCCAGUUCAUAUCUGUAAAAUGUGCAGCUAUACGAGACAUCUAUAAUUGAUGAAGGCACCAAAAAGAGAAACAUAAAAGAAA
This is a long non-coding RNA of Alligator sinensis (Chinese alligator), 3987 nucleotides long. RefSeq lists it as uncharacterized. NCBI's taxonomy places the organism in Eukaryota, Metazoa, Chordata, Crocodylia, Alligatoridae. The transcript is spliced from 3 exons. The record is from RefSeq and is a predicted model, not a curated record.